GAUUAACGCUGGCGGCGCGCCUAACACAUGCAAGUCGAACGAGGUAGCAAUACCUAGUGGCAGACGGGUGAGUAACGCGUGGUCAACCUACCGUUGAGUGGGGGAUAACUAGCCGAAAGGUUAGCUAAUACCGCAUACGUCUCCGAGUGGCAUCACUUGGCGAUAAAAGGAGCAAUCCGCUCGAUGACGGGACCGCGUCCCAUUAGCUAGAUGGUGGGGUAACGCCUACCAUGGCACCGAUGGGUAGCUGGUUUGAGAGAGCGACCAGCCACACUGGGACUGAGAAACGGCCCAGACUCCUACGGGAGGCAGCAGUGAGGAAUUUUCCGCAAUGGCGCAAGCCUGACGGAGCGACGCCGCGUGUGGGAAGAAGGCCUCGGUCGUAA
This 386-nucleotide ribosomal RNA is filed under the name uncultured bacterium. RNAcentral's name for it is "bacterial SSU rRNA". It matches the Rfam family "Bacterial small subunit ribosomal RNA", at positions 28 to 428 of the family's 1533-position model. The record is from RNAcentral.